This 567-nucleotide ribosomal RNA is filed under the name uncultured bacterium. RNAcentral describes it as "partial 16S ribosomal RNA". It matches the Rfam family "Bacterial small subunit ribosomal RNA", at positions 355 to 1375 of the family's 1533-position model. The record is from RNAcentral.
UAGGGAAUAUUGCUUAAUGGGCGAAAGCCUGAAGCAGCAACGCCGCGUGUGCGAUGAAGGCCUUCGGGUUGUAAAGCACUUUUUGAGGGGAUGAGGAAGGACAGUACCCUCAGAAUAAGUCUCGGCUAACUACGUGCCAGCAGCCGCGGUAAAACGUAGGAGGCGAGCGUUAUCCGGAUUUACUGGGCGUAAAGCGCGUGCAGGCGGCUCGAAAAGUUGGAUGUGAAAGCUCCUGGCUUAACUGGGAGAGGUCGUUCAAUACUUUCGGGCUUGAGGAUGGGAGAGGGAGGUGGAAUUCCGGGUGUAGUGGUGAAAUGCGUAGAUAUCCGGAGGAACACCAGUGGCGAAGGCGGCCUCCUGGCCCAUUUCUGACGCUCAGACGCGAAAGCUAGGGUAGCAAACGGGAUUAGAGACCCCCGGUAGUCCUAGCUGUAAAACGAUGUAGACUUGGCGUUGGUGGGUUCAAAUCCAUCAGUGCCGGAGCUAACGCGUUAAGUCUACCGCCUGGGGGACUACGGCCGCAAGGUUAAAAACUCAAAGGAAUUGACGGGGUCAUAGCUGUUUCCU